Molecule: long non-coding RNA, 1398 nt
Organism: Pecten maximus
Lineage: Eukaryota; Metazoa; Mollusca; Bivalvia; Pectinida; Pectinidae
Exons: 4
Source: RefSeq, a predicted model, not a curated record
CCCAUCUUUGUGGUGGACACUGACCAGGUGAGGUACCAACACAGUUCACACUCCUAAGGCCCCCAUCUGUGUGGUGGACACCCACACUGACCAGGUGAGUUACCAUCACAGUUCACACUCCUAAGGCCCCCAUCUUUGUGGUGGACACCCACACUGACCAGGUGAGGUACCAUCACAGUUCACACUCCUAAGGCCCCCAUCUUUGUGGUGGACACCCACACUGACCAGGUGAGAUACCAUGACAGUUCACACUCCUAAGGCCCCCAUCUUUGUGGUGGACACCCACACUGACCAGGUGAGAUACCAUGACAGUUCACACUCCUAAGGCCCCCAUCUUUGUGGUGGACACCCACACUGACCAGGUGAGGUACCAUCACAGUUCACACUCCUAAGGCCCCCAUCUUUGUGGUGGACACCCACACUGACCAGGUGAGGUACCAUCACAGUUCACACUCCUAAGGCCCCCAUCUUUGUGGUGGACACCCACACUGACCAGGUGAGGUACCAUCACAGUUCACACUCCUAAGGCCCCCAUCUUUGUAGUGGACACCCACACUGACCAGGUGAGGUACCAUCACAGUUCACACUCCUAAGGCCCCCAUCUUUGUGGUGGACACCCACACUGACCAGGUGAGGUACCAUCACAGUUCACACUCCUAAGGCCCCCAUCUUUGUGGUGGACACCCACACUGACCAGGUGAGGUACCAUCACAGUUCACACUCCUAAGGCCCCCAUCUUUGUGGUGGACACCCACACUGACCAGGUGAGGUACCAUCACAGUUCACACUCCUAAGGCCCCCAUCUUUGUGGUGGACACCCACACUGACCAGGUGAGGUACCAUCACAGUUCACACUCCUAAGGCCCCCAUCUUUGUGGUGGACACCCACACUGACCAGGUGAGGUACCAUCACAGUUCACACUCCUAAGGCCCCCAUCUUUGUGGUGGACACCCACACUGACCAGGUGAGGUACCAUCACAGUUCACACUCCUAAGGCCCCCAUCUUUGUGGUGGACACCCACACUGACCAGGUGAGGUACCAUCACAGUUCACACUCCUAAGGACCCCCAUCUUUGUGGUGGACACCCACACUGACCAGGUGAGGUACCAUCACAGUUCACACUCCUAAGGCCCCCAUCUUUGUGGUGGACACCCACACUGACCAUGUGAGGUACCAUCACAGUUCACACUCCUAAGACCCCCGUCUUUGUGGUGGACACCCACACUGACCAGGUGAGGUACCAUCACAGUUCACACUCCUAAGGCUCCCAUCUUUGUGGUGGACACCCACACUGACCAGGUGAGGUACCAUCACAGUUCACACUCCUAAGGCCCCCAUCUUUGUGGUGGACACCCACACUGACCAGGUGAGGUACCAUCACUGUUCACACUCCUAA